Molecule: ribosomal RNA, 1009 nt
Filed under: Clostridioides difficile
Lineage: Bacteria; Bacillati; Bacillota; Clostridia; Peptostreptococcales; Peptostreptococcaceae
Description: partial 23S ribosomal RNA
Rfam family: Bacterial large subunit ribosomal RNA
Source: RNAcentral
AAUCGAAGCAGUGAACUUAAGCCCCAGUAAACGGCGGCCGUAACUAUAACGGUCCUAAGGUAGCGAAAUUCCUUGUCGGGUAAGUUCCGACCCGCACGAAAGGCGUAACGAUUUGGGCACUGUCUCAACAACAGACUCGGUGAAAUUGUAAUUCCGGUGAAGAUGCCGGAUACCUGCGACAGGACGGAAAGACCCCAUGGAGCUUUACUGUAGCUUGACAUUGGGUCUUGGUACUACAUGUACAGGAUAGGUGGGAGGCUUUGAAACCAGGACGCCAGUUUUGGCGGAGCCAUCCUUGGGAUACCACCCUUGUAGUACUGGGACUCUAACCAUAGGCCAUGAAUCUGGUCUUGGGACACUGUCAGGUGGGCAGUUUGACUGGGGCGGUCGCCUCCCAAAAGGUAACGGAGGCGCUCAAAGGUUCUCUCAGUACGGUCGGAAAUCGUACGUAGAGUGUAAAGGCAAAAGAGAGCUUGAUUGCAAGACAUACAGGUCGAGCAAGGAUGAAAAUCGGACUUAGUGAUCCGGUGGUUCUGCGUGGAAGGGCCAUCGCUCAACGGAUAAAAGCUACCCUGGGGAUAACAGGCUUAUCUCCCCCAAGAGUCCACAUCGACGGGGAGGUUUGGCACCUCGAUGUCGGCUCAUCACAUCCUGGGGCUGUAGUAGGUCCCAAGGGUUGGGCUGUUCGCCCAUUAAAGUGGUACGCGAGCUGGGUUCAGAACGUCGUGAGACAGUUCGGUCCCUAUCCGUCGCAGGCGUAGGAAAUUUGAGAAGACCUGUCCUUAGUACGAGAGGACCGGGAUGGACGUACCUCUGGUGUACCAGUUGUCCUGCCAAGGGCAUGGCUGGGUAGCUAUGUACGGAAUGGAUAAGCGCUGAAAGCAUCUAAGCGCGAAGCCAACUUCAAGAUAAGAUUUCCCACCGCAAGGGUAAGACCCCAGAAAGACUAUCUGGUUGAUAGGUCGAAGGUGUAAGUGCAGCAAUGUAUUUAGCUUAUCGAUACUAAUAG